Solanum pennellii is the source of this 812-nucleotide long non-coding RNA. RefSeq lists it as uncharacterized. NCBI's taxonomy places the organism in Eukaryota, Viridiplantae, Streptophyta, Magnoliopsida, Solanales, Solanaceae. The record is from RefSeq and is a predicted model, not a curated record. The transcript has 2 exons.
UAUGAAGCAAGUGUUAAAAGAAAACUCCUAGUUGUAUUUCUCUCAAGUUACGUUUUUUAAAGACGGUCAAUAAUUGGUGUUUUCAAUUCCCAAAGUAGGCCUAUCAUGCCAAGUGAAGUUGGAUAGUUUUCUUUAUUAAGUUCCCACCCUUGUCUGACUGUACGUAACAAUGGUGUCCCCAAGAUCAAAUGCAGGGACGAUCCACCACUUAUCGUUGAUUAAUAUAAUGUAGCAUCAUUCGUAUAUCCAUCAAGCUAUCUGGUAGAUCAAACCACAUUCCAUGGAAAACCCACAUAGCUUGUCUCCUUCUGAGUCAUGAUUUACUUGGAUUCGUUGAUUGAACAAUCAAAUUUCCUCAACUGACCAUUGCUUUUGAUGAGCUUGAUGCAGCAGAAGAAGAUUACUUGCAAAAGAGAAGGACUGAUGAGUUUGUUGAAGGAUGGAUCUUCCGUUCUCUUAGUGAUAAACUUCUUCAGGAUAAAGCGGUUCAUCAAUUAGAUACUGCUGCUACACAAGUUUGGUUGGUUUUAGAGAACCUCAAUCGCAAGGUUAUGGAUGCUUAAAGAUGCCUAUAUGAUUGAGGAACUUGAUAUGUGAUUCCCAAGCUCAAGGAAAUGAAUCAUUAAGUCCAAGGAUAUCCUAAUAUUUAGCUUACUGUAAUGUUUUAUGAAUUAUAUAGUUGUGUAUUAUGUUAUAAGGGCCGUGUCCCUAUUUUACCCUUAUAAUGUUGUUGGUAGGAUGGAAAAGAGACUUAAGGUCUAAAUAUGUACUUAUGAUAUUUUGUAUAUAUGUUAUGAGAUAAAUUUCUAGCA